RNAcentral lists this ribosomal RNA (745 nucleotides) under fungal sp. Its description in RNAcentral is "partial large subunit ribosomal RNA". It matches the Rfam family "Eukaryotic large subunit ribosomal RNA", at positions 76 to 848 of the family's 3401-position model. The record is from RNAcentral. Lineage: Eukaryota; Fungi.
UGCCCCAGUAACGGCGAGUGAAGCGGCAACAGCUCAAAUUUGAAAUCUGGCCCCCAGGGUCCGAGUUGUAAUUUGCAGAGGAUGCUUUUGGCAAGGUGCCUUCCGAGUUCCCUGGAACGGGACGCCAUAGAGGGUGAGAGCCCCGUCUGGUUGGAUACCGAGCCUCUGUAAAGCUCCUUCGACGAGUCGAGUAGUUUGGGAAUGCUGCUCUAAAUGGGAGGUAUAUGUCUUCUAAAGCUAAAUAUUGGCCAGAGACCGAUAGCGCACAAGUAGAGUGAUCGAAAGAUGAAAAGCACUUUGAAAAGAGGGUUAAAUAGUACGUGAAAUUGUUGAAAGGGAAGCGCUCAUGACCAGACUUGGGCCCGGUGAAUCAUCCAGCGCUCGUCGCUGGUGCACUUUGCCGGGCUCAGGCCAGCAUCAGUUCGCUCCGGGGGACAAAGGCUCUGGGAAUGUGGCUCCUCCGGGAGUGUUAUAGCCCACUGCGCAAUACCCUGGGGCGGACUGAGGUUCGCGCAUUCGUGCAAGGAUGCUGGCGUAAUGGUCAUCAGUGACCCGUCUUGAAACACGGACCAAGGAGUCGUCUUCGUAUGCAAGUGUUCGGGUGUAAAACCCCUACGCGUAAUGAAAGUGAACGCAGGUGAGAGCUUCGGCGCAUCAUCGACCGAUCCUGAUGUUCUCGGAUGGAUUUGAGUAAGAGCAUACGGGGCCGGACCCGAAAGAAGGUGAACUAUGCCUGUAUAGGGUG